CACGUAGGGCGCAAGCGUUGUCCGGAAUUAUUGGGCGUAAAGAGCUCGUAGGCGGUCUGUUACGUCUGCUGUGAAAACCCGGGGCUUAACCCCGGGCCUGCAGUGGGUACGGGCAGACUAGAGUGCGGUAGGGGAGACUGGAAUUCCUGGUGUAGCGGUGAAAUGCGCAGAUAUCAGGAGGAACACCGGUGGCGAAGGCGGGUCUCUGGGCCGUAACUGACGCUGAGGAGCGAAAGCAUAGGGAGCGAACAGG
RNAcentral lists this ribosomal RNA (253 nucleotides) under uncultured bacterium. RNAcentral describes it as "partial 16S ribosomal RNA". It matches the Rfam family "Bacterial small subunit ribosomal RNA", at positions 524 to 776 of the family's 1533-position model. The record is from RNAcentral.